GUGCCAGCAGCCGCGGUAAAACGUAGGUGGCAAGCGUUAUCCGGAUUUACUGGGCGUAAAGCGUGUGCAGGCGGUCUGACAAGUGGUGUAUGAAAUCGCCCGGCUCAACCGGGUGGGGUUAUGCCAGACUGUUAGACUGGAGUCUGAAAGAGGGGGGUGGAAUUCCGGGUGUAGUGGUGAAAUGCGUAGAGAUCCGGAGGAACCCCAGAGGCGAAGGCGGCCCCCUGGUUCAGGACUGACGCUCAGACACGACAGCAUGGGGAGCGAACGGGAUUAGAUACCCCAGUAGUCC
RNAcentral lists this ribosomal RNA (292 nucleotides) under uncultured bacterium. RNAcentral describes it as "partial 16S ribosomal RNA". It matches the Rfam family "Bacterial small subunit ribosomal RNA", at positions 505 to 796 of the family's 1533-position model. The record is from RNAcentral.